UGGAAGCAGCCAUCCUUGAAAGAGUGCGUAAUAGCUCACUGGUCAAGUGAUUCCGCGCCGACAAUGUAGCGGGGCUCAAGCACACCGCCGAAGCCGUGGCAUUCAUGCAACAACCCGUCGCCGGCCUUCGAGCCGGCGGCCAGGUGUGUGGAUGGGUAGGGGAGCGUCGUGUGGCGGUGGAAGCGGCGGAGUGAUCCAGCCGUGGACGCCACGCGAGUGAGAAUGCAGGCAUGAGUAGCGAAUGACGGGUGA
RNAcentral lists this ribosomal RNA (252 nucleotides) under Chrysochromulina rotalis. RNAcentral's name for it is "partial Bacterial large subunit ribosomal RNA". It matches the Rfam family "Bacterial large subunit ribosomal RNA", at positions 1107 to 1324 of the family's 2925-position model. The record is from RNAcentral. Lineage: Eukaryota; Haptophyta; Prymnesiales; Chrysochromulinaceae.